GUUGGUAUUUAUUAAGGUGAGGGUCCACCCGUUCCCAUUCCGAACACGGAAGUUAAGCUCAUCAUUGCCGAAAAUACUUGGUUGGAAGCGACCUGGAAAAAUAGGUAAAUGCCAACA
This 117-nucleotide ribosomal RNA is filed under the name Oscillospiraceae bacterium. Lineage: Bacteria; Bacillati; Bacillota; Clostridia; Eubacteriales; Oscillospiraceae. The record is from RNAcentral.